Molecule: transfer RNA, 75 nt
Filed under: Verrucomicrobiia bacterium Tous-C2TDCM
Lineage: Bacteria; Pseudomonadati; Verrucomicrobiota; Verrucomicrobiia
Description: Verrucomicrobiae bacterium Tous-C2TDCM tRNA-Met
Rfam family: tRNA
About the family: Transfer RNA (tRNA) molecules are approximately 80 nucleotides in length. Their secondary structure includes four short double-helical elements and three loops (D, anti-codon, and T loops).
Source: RNAcentral
GGCAGGAUAGCUCAGGGGUAGAGCAGAGGACUCAUAAGCCUUUGGUCGGCGGUUCAAAUCCGCCUCCUGCUACCG